Canis lupus familiaris (dog) is the source of this 659-nucleotide long non-coding RNA. RefSeq lists it as uncharacterized. Lineage: Eukaryota; Metazoa; Chordata; Mammalia; Carnivora; Canidae. The record is from RefSeq and is a predicted model, not a curated record. The transcript has 2 exons.
AAUUCUAGAACAAAGUGGAUUUUGCUGCCUUUCCAGGUACAAGGCUGCUAAACUAGCUAGGAAAAUAAUUUAUUUCAGGCAGUUAAAAUAUAUGGUAAUUUAAAAGCCUCUGCUUAUUAGGUUGAUCAACCGAAUUGUUAAAGUCUGACAUUUUUAGAAAAGGAAAUAAAAUGAACAAUUAUACAGCCACUCUGUGGUCUGGCGGAAACAGCUUCUCCAGCAACAGUACCAAAGUUCAUUUUCACAGACCAUAUAGGAAACUUUAAUGAAGACACAUUUUGUAAGGAAGCAAGUUCUAGCACUUUCUCAAAUAAUCCUUGAAAUCUUUAAUCCAGCAUUUCAGGGUGUUCCCAUUUAAUUAACUAAAAAUGAACAAUUCUAAUUUGUUGAGCAAUGGUAAUUUCAAAAUUGUAAUCUGAGCAUGAUCAUACAGUUUCCUCGCUUCUGAUAUUUUCGAUUUAUGCUCAUUAGUGCGAAUUUUUAUCCUUGCAUUCUAACUUUAAACUCAAAUUAAUGCUAUGAUUAUCUUGCUCGAUUAAUAAUUCUUGAUUUUUAGGCUUAUCAAUACUUAAUAUGUUUAGGAUCUAAAGAAAAUGACACCAGGCUAUUAUAAAUCCCCGUGAAAUCAAUAAGCAGAAAUUAAAUGUAUUCGGCUCGUU